Long non-coding RNA from Vespula vulgaris, 615 nucleotides. RefSeq lists it as uncharacterized. The record is from RefSeq and is a predicted model, not a curated record. The transcript has 3 exons. NCBI's taxonomy places the organism in Eukaryota, Metazoa, Arthropoda, Insecta, Hymenoptera, Vespidae.
GCACCUGUUCCAGUCACCAUAUAUACCCAACGUUUUACGCGUGUAACGCGGUAUCCACCUCCUCCUUCAACCUCACCUCUCACCUCUCACCUCUCACCCUCUUCCACCCUCUCUCAUCCUUUCCCUUCUGCCUAAAAAAAAAAGAGGUGGAAAAGCUUCUGCUACGUCUCGACGGAAGAUUCGAAAACGGAAAGAUCUCGGAGCUGUCCUCGUUCGAAUCUUUUCGGGGAAUAACUUUGCAUAUUUCAAAAUGGCGGCAUCUUAGAUAAGAAAGUAUGUAAAUGACAGCUGGCAUCCAUCUUUCGGAGACAAACCGAAUGCGACACCGUAAAUAUAGACAUAAAAAUUCGACCUUCUCCGUUUCACCGGUUUGGUGGUAUUACAACCUUUGAUAUUAAAAUUUAACCUUGUGAGAGAAAAAGAAAUAUUAACGCGAGCGAUUCAAAAAAAAAAAAAAGGAAAAUAAAAGAGAAAAGAAAAAAAAAUCCGAUUCGAUUCAGUCGAAAAACAAUAUAAUCGAAUUAGGUGAAUCAUUCUGACGAUAACGAACGAGAUAACGGAUUAAAAAAAAGAAGAAGAAAAAAUAAAAUAAAUUUUCUUCGUAUGUAAAACGAA